Molecule: ribosomal RNA, 253 nt
Filed under: uncultured prokaryote
Description: partial 16S ribosomal RNA
Rfam family: Bacterial small subunit ribosomal RNA
Source: RNAcentral
ACGAAGGGGGCAAGCGUUGUCCGGACUGACUGGGCGUAAAGCGCGCGCAGGCGGUCUCGGGCGUCGGUGCUGAAAGUCCACCGCUUAACGGUGGGAUGCGUGCCGAUACGCCGAGACUGGAGGGUGGGCGAGGGUGGUGGAAUUGCCGGUGUAGUGGUGAAAUGCGUAGAGAUCGGCAGGAACACCCGUGGCGGAAGCGGCCACCUAGCCCGCACCUGACGCUGAGGCGCGACAGCGUGGGGAGCGAACGGGA